AUUGAACGCUGGCGGCAGGCCUAACACAUGCAAGUCGAGCGGAUGAAGGGAGCUUGCUCCUGGAUUCAGCGGCGGACGGGUGAGUAAUGCCUAGGAAUCUGCCUGGUAGUGGGGGAUAACGUCCGGAAACGGGCGCUAAUACCGCAUACGUCCUGAGGGAGAAAGUGGGGGAUCUUCGGGCCUCACGCUAUCAGAUGAGCCUAGGUCGGAUUAGCUAGUUGGUGGGGUAAAGGCCUACCAAGGCGACGAUCCGUAACUGGUCUGAGAGGAUGAUCAGUCACACUGGAACUGGGAAACGGUCCAGACUCCUACGGGAGGCAGCAGUGGGGAAUAUUGGACAAUGGGGGAAAGCCUGAUCCAGCCAUGCCGCGUGUGUGAAGAAGGUCUUCGGAUUGUAAAGCACUUUAAGUUGGGAGAAAGGGCAGUAAGUUAAUACCUUGCUGUUUUGACGUUACCAACAGAAUAAGCACCGGCUAACUUCGUG
This 484-nucleotide ribosomal RNA is filed under the name uncultured bacterium. RNAcentral's name for it is "partial 16S ribosomal RNA". It matches the Rfam family "Bacterial small subunit ribosomal RNA", at positions 30 to 507 of the family's 1533-position model. The record is from RNAcentral.